CCCCCCGUAGCUCAGCGGAAGAGCGUGUGGUUUCUACCCACUUGGUCGGGGGUUCGAAUCCCUCCGGGGGGA
Molecule: transfer RNA, 72 nt
Filed under: Frigoribacterium sp. CG_9.8
Lineage: Bacteria; Bacillati; Actinomycetota; Actinomycetes; Micrococcales; Microbacteriaceae
Rfam family: tRNA
About the family: Transfer RNA (tRNA) molecules are approximately 80 nucleotides in length. Their secondary structure includes four short double-helical elements and three loops (D, anti-codon, and T loops).
Source: Rfam by way of RNAcentral